CUGUGUGUGUUGAGCGCGAUGGCCCCACCCCGUUCCAUCCCGAACCGGGUCGUGAAACGUCGCCGCGCCGAUGCUACUGGGGUGCGCCCUGGGAGAGUAGGUCCACGCACAGU
Molecule: ribosomal RNA, 113 nt
Filed under: Blastochloris sp.
Lineage: Bacteria; Pseudomonadati; Pseudomonadota; Alphaproteobacteria; Hyphomicrobiales; Blastochloridaceae
Source: RNAcentral